UACGAAGGGGGCUAGCGUUGUUCGGAAUUACUGGGCGUAAAGCGUGCGUAGUCGGUUAUCUAAGUCGGAUGUGAAAUCCCCGGGCUCAACCUGGGAAUUGCAUUCGAUACUGGAUAGCUAGAGUUCGGCAGAGGGAAGCGGAAUUUCGGGUGUAGCGGUGAAAUGCGUAGAUAUCCGAAGGAACAUCAGUGGCGAAGGCGGCUUCCUGGACCAGAACUGACGAUCAGGCACGAAAGCGUGGGGAGCAAACAGG
This 253-nucleotide ribosomal RNA is filed under the name uncultured bacterium. RNAcentral's name for it is "partial 16S ribosomal RNA". It matches the Rfam family "Bacterial small subunit ribosomal RNA", at positions 524 to 776 of the family's 1533-position model. The record is from RNAcentral.